This 1324-nucleotide ribosomal RNA is filed under the name uncultured bacterium. RNAcentral describes it as "bacterial SSU rRNA". It matches the Rfam family "Bacterial small subunit ribosomal RNA", at positions 28 to 1381 of the family's 1533-position model. The record is from RNAcentral.
GAUGAACGCUGGCGGCGUGCCUAACACAUGCAAGUCGAGCGAUUCUCUUCGGAGAAGAGCGGCGGACGGGUGAGUAACGCGUGGGUAACCUGCCCUGUACACACGGAUAACAUACCGAAAGGUAUGCUAAUACGAGAUGAUAUAUAAAAGUUGCAUGACUUUUAUAUCAAAGCUUUUGCGGUACAGGAUGGACCCGCGUCUGAUUAGCUAGUUGGUAAGGUAACGGCUUACCAAGGCGACGAUCAGUAGCCGACCUGAGAGGGUGAUCGGCCACACUGGAACUGAGACACGGUCCAGACUCCUACGGGAGGCAGCAGUGGGGAAUAUUGCACAAUGGGCGAAAGCCUGAUGCAGCGACGCCGCGUGAGCGAUGAAGGCCUUCGGGUCGUAAAGCUCUGUCCUCAAGGAAGAUAAUGACGGUACUUGAGGAGGAAGCCCCGGCUAACUACGUGCCAGCAGCCGCGGUAAUACGUAGGGGGCUAGCGUUAUCCGGAAUUACUGGGCGUAAAGGGUGCGUAGGCGGUCUUUCAAGCCAGAAGUGAAAGGCUACGGCUCAACCGUAGUAAGCUUUUGGAACUGUAGGACUUGAGUGCAGGAGAGGAGAGUGGAAUUCCUAGUGUAGCGGUGAAAUGCGUAGAUAUUAGGAGGAACACCAGUAGCGAAGGCGGCUCUCUGGACUGUAACUGACGCUGAGGCACGAAAGCGUGGGAAGCAAACAGGAUUAGAUACCCUGGUAGUCCACGCCGUAAACGAUGAGUACUAGGUGUCGGGGGUUACCCCCCUCGGUGCCGCAGCUAACGCAUUAAGUACUCCGCCUGGGAAGUACGCUCGCAAGAGUGAAACUCAAAGGAAUUGACGGGGACCCGCACAAGUAGCGGAGCAUGUGGUUUAAUUCGAAGCAACGCGAAGAACCUUACCUAAGCUUGACAUCCCAUUGACCUCUCCCUAAUCGGAGGUUUCCCUUCGGGGACAGUGGUGACAGGUGGUGCAUGGUUGUCGUCAGCUCGUGUCGUGAGAUGUUGGGUUAAGUCCCGCAACGAGCGCAACCCUUGCCUUUAGUUGCCAGCAUUAAGUUGGGCACUCUAGAGGGACUGCCGAGGAUAACUCGGAGGAAGGUGGGGAUGACGUCAAAUCAUCAUGCCCCUUAUGCUUAGGGCUACACACGUGCUACAAUGGGUGGUACAGAGGGUUGCCAAACCGUGAGGUGGAGCUAAUCCCUUAAAGCCAUUCUCAGUUCGGAUUGUAGGCUGAAACUCGCCUACAUGAAGCUGGAGUUACUAGUAAUCGCAGAUCAGAAUGCUGCGGUGAAUGCGUUCCCGGGUCU